Molecule: long non-coding RNA, 649 nt
Organism: Vitis riparia (riverbank grape)
Lineage: Eukaryota; Viridiplantae; Streptophyta; Magnoliopsida; Vitales; Vitaceae
Exons: 5
Source: RefSeq, a predicted model, not a curated record
AAUUUCCCUCCACAAGCCUUGCAAUCUCACAGUGGUAAGAUAUCAAAGCAACAAAAACUCUAAGCUUUCACUCACGACGACAUACCAGUGGUCAAUAACUGCAGCUAUUUGGCCUUCUUCUAAUGAAGUAACAAGCAGAAAGCCAAGAUUUAAGGUUUUUCAUUUCAAAAGUUGAGAGAUUCGACCAAUGUAGUCUAGAUUGGAGGACCAAUCGAAUAAAGGAGUCCUUUUUCUACCAAUUGGAAGAGGAGGAGGUUAUGAUUUUUCAAUAUCCUGAAGCGAGAUCGUGUAAAGUGUUGCAAAUUUUCAGCGGAACGCAAGUUAAAUUGUAGCUCCCUGAAGAUGUUGGCAUUUGGAAAGUGGUGUUGAUCGAUUUAAGUGAUAGUCUACCCAUCUUGAAGAGAAUUAUGGUAAAGGUGAAAGAAGCACUCCACUCCAAGGACAACAUGUUUCCUUGCCUAGGUUGCAAAGGAUACUUGUUUGCUAAAAGAAGAGAUCAAAAUCAUUGUGUUAAAGAAGGCGAUGCCAAAAAUCAUGAAGAUUACAUCAAUGAACUCAUUAGGAAGUUGAAUUAUGCUUUUAAAGAUUAUGAUUUAUUUUAGUAGUCUUGGUACCAAUGUUUGUUCUUAUGUUGAAAAAAUUAGAAAUU